RNAcentral lists this transfer RNA (75 nucleotides) under Thermoplasmatales archaeon. Its description in RNAcentral is "tRNA-Thr". It matches the Rfam family "tRNA". From Rfam's summary of the family: Transfer RNA (tRNA) molecules are approximately 80 nucleotides in length. The record is from RNAcentral. Lineage: Archaea; Methanobacteriati; Thermoplasmatota; Thermoplasmata; Thermoplasmatales.
GCCGCCUUGGCUCAGCCGGGUUAGAGCGAUUCCUUGGUAAGGAAUAGGUCCCGGGUUCGAAUCCCGGAGGCGGCU